Molecule: long non-coding RNA, 620 nt
Organism: Argentina anserina (silverweed cinquefoil)
Lineage: Eukaryota; Viridiplantae; Streptophyta; Magnoliopsida; Rosales; Rosaceae
Exons: 3
Source: RefSeq, a predicted model, not a curated record
AGGAUUUGGAUCUGAAUAUUUUGACAGACAAGAGAAUGGGUUGCCAUUAAGUGAUAACAAAUCUUUGCGUAAGCAAUAUAUAAGUGUUCUUACAUCAAAAGGCCCGGAGGACUUUAUGGCUAACUUGGCAUGGUGGGAACCAGGUCAUGGGAAGUUCAAGUUCCGCCACCCAUGGAAAAAGUAUUUGAAUGUUGGAGCUGCAAGUAGGUAAUGUGCCUAUAAAAUUGAGGCUCUUAAUACUUACCUGAACAAUGAAGUUCAGGCCCCUGCUGAAAUCCGAGACCAAAUUCAGGAACCAUGCAAAAAUAUUUGCAUUGAAACCGGGAAAGCUUUGAAGGAAUUAGCUGCAGCACUUAAGAAAAUGACUCUAUCAUCAUCAGCUGACCACCACAUUACAGUCUCAAAAGCAGCAGCUGAGAGUCUCAUGUCGUUGCUGAGAGGAGGCAUAUGGAAAGAUCCGAAUGUGAUCGAAAUGGUACCAUCAGCUGCGGUGGCGUUGCUUCUUAUUGAAGUUGUAACCAGUGUUGAGAAGAUUGGUGAAGCACUUCAUGAACUAGCAUCCGCUGCAGAUUUCAAGACUGAUAAAGGACAAGUACUACCGGAGCCAGUGGUUUCUGAAG